GACGAACGCUGGCGGCGUGGAUUAGGCAUGCAAGUCGAACGGUAUCAUCCUUUCGGGGGUGAGAGAGUGGCGAACUGGUGAGUAACACGUAGGUUAUCUACCCUCAAGACGGGGACAACCCAGGGAAACUUGGGCUAAUACCGGAUGUGAGCAACUUUUAGUUGUUUGAAAGGUGGCGUAAGCUGUCGCUUGGGGAUGAGCCUGCGUCCUAUUAGUUAGUUGGUGAGGUAACGGCUCACCUAGGCAAUGAUAGGUAGGCGGCCUUAACGGGUGGUCGCCCACACUGGGAUUGAGAUACGGCCCAGACUCCUACGGGAGGCAGCAGUCGAGAAUAGUCUACAAUGGUCGGAAGACUGAUAGUGCGACGCCGCGUGAACGAUGAAUCCCUUCGGGGUGUAAAGUUCUUUUAUAUGUGAGCACUGCUUCUUAUAUUAACAGUAUGGGGAAGAGAUAUUAGCAUAUGAAUAAGCAACGGCUAACUCCGUGCCAGCAGCCGCGGU
This 500-nucleotide ribosomal RNA is filed under the name uncultured bacterium. Its description in RNAcentral is "bacterial SSU rRNA". It matches the Rfam family "Bacterial small subunit ribosomal RNA", at positions 28 to 521 of the family's 1533-position model. The record is from RNAcentral.